GAGCAAUAUACCUUUUUCCUGCUUCUUCCAAUCCCCGCGUUUCUCUCUCUUUCUCUAGUUUCUGUGUUUUUGCUUGGUGGGUUUGGUCUCAAUUUUAGCUUCAAACAUUGGCUGCAACUUACUAACUUUGGUAAAGCAUAUACUGUUGAUGGUCUGUGACUCUGUUUGCUCUUCAGGAGCAUAAUUUUCCGACUUUAAAUACAGUGGAGAUGAUGAGAUGGCUUAAAGUUCACUUGGUGCUUCAUGUGCCAAAUUAAUUUUUUCGAGUGAAUUCGAAUGCUUUUAAGGGAAGAACUAUUCUUUAAUGAGAUGUGUGCCAAGGAUUCUGUACGAGUCAAUGUUGCUGGUUACCAAUGAGAGUUCUUGUUACUCUUCCGGCAAUGAGUCCCUUCUCUCUCUCUUUCUUUCUCUAUAUAUCUUCUGCUUCUUCUUUUUCGCUAUUUUCAUUUAAACCUUUGCAAUCUGUAUUGUGCUGAAUUAUUAUAAAGGAUGGAUUAGUAACAAAAUCAAAACUAUUUCAUUCUUGUGUUUAAUUAACUUGGAGAUAUUUUAGGACUAUUCAGCCUUUGAUGUAUUAUUGUAGUUUGGACUUUGGAAAUAGACUGUGUGGUUUAGAUUGCCUCUGUUAAUUUGGGUUUUAUUCAUAUUCAUCUUCGUGGACUGAGAUUUAGUGGUUGAUUUACAUUUUCCCCUUCAGUGUCUAGCAAAUGGCGGGCCAGAGAGGCUUUCCAACUCCAGUCUUGGAUACUAAUUCACUUGUUCCCCUUAAGGAUCAAAAUGAAAAACCAAAUCUUCUUAUCGAGGUUACUAAUGUAGGAAAACAGUUGCUGGCAUUUAUCCAUACCAAAGGUAUAAUGCACUCUGAUGUUCAAGCCUUGUACAAAAAAGUUUGUUCUAGUUAUGAGAAAAUCAUCCUUAAUGAUCUUGAAGUGGCAGAACUUCAAGAUGUUGAAUAUUCUUUAUGGAAGCUUCACUAUAGGCAUAUUGAUGAAUUUCGUAAAAGAAUAAAGAAAAGCUCUGCUAAUGAAGAGGUUACAAAAUCCGUGGCAACACAAAGUGUAGCUGCAGCACAGAGAAGCAAUGACAAUCAUCUAGAAGGGUUUAAGUUAUUUCUGUCAGAUGCAACUAGAUUUUAUCAGAAUUUGAUUGUAAAAAUCAAAAGAUAUAAUGGACUUCCAGAAGACUUUUCCUUCUGUGGAAGGGGUGGAAAUGCUGUUUCCGUUGAACCGAAGAAAAUGCAGAAACUGCAAUUCUUAUGCCAUCGAUUUCUAGUUUGUCUUGGGGAUUUUGCUAGGUAUAGAGAGCAAUGUGAAAUGUCAGAUACGCAGAACCAGAACUGGUCAGUUGCAGUCACCCAUUACUUGGAAGCUACAAAGAUUUGGCCACAUAGUGGGAACCCCCAAAAUCAGUUGGCAGUGUUGGCAACAUAUGUUGGUGACGAGUUCCUAGCUUUGUACCACUGCAUAAGAAGUUUGGCAGUUAGGGAGCCUUUCCCUGAUGCAUGGAACAACCUUAUUUUAUUGUUUGAAAGAAACCGGUCAUAUCAUUUACAUUCCCUUUGUAGUGAGGCCCACUUUGAUUUCUUAAAUCCAUCUGAAAGUACUGUCCAGACCAAUUCUCAAUCAACUAAUGAUGCAUCAAAUUGCAAGAUGGUACAAGCACAGGAUGAAGGCUCGAGGGGAAUGCAUUUAUGGCCUCUUUUCAUUAGAACAAUAAGUUUCUUCUUCAUAAAAUCCAGUUUGGAGGACUUCCCUUUUACUUUUGCUUCUACUAUAAAAGAGCUGGACACAUUGAUGGCACUAGACGAUGUACAAUUAAAAGCUGCAAUGGAAUCCUAUCAGCGUAUGGAUUCAGCAAGAAGCGGUCCCUUUCGGAAUCUUCAAGUUGUCUCUGUAUUUAUCUUUGUCAUUGAGAAUCUGAUAAGUAGCCCAGAAGCAAGAGAUUCAAAGAACAAGAAUGAUAUGCAACAGUUUGAGUUGAUACGAGAGGCAUUGACUGCUACAUUCAUUUUCAUGGGACGCCUUGCUGAAAGAUGCUUGAAGGCAAAUGUCUUGGACUCUUGUCCCCUUUUACCAGCUUUACUUGUGUUUUCAGAGUGGCUGGAGAGCAUUCUUGAUGAAGCAGAAGUAUAUGGAUCUAAUGAAAAAAGUACAAGUGCUAUAUCUUAUUUUUUCGGUGUUUAUCUUGAACUUCUGAAGCGAUUUGAUAUUAACAAGGGUGAAGUCAAGCCUCCAUGCAGCAUUGCUCUUUGGGAAGACUAUGAGCUGAGGGGCUUCGCACCAUUAGCUUCUUCUCAUGUGUCAUUAGAUUUUUCAAGCCACUGGGGACAUGCAGACAGUUAUGAAUGUGGCACUGAAUGCCGUGCUCAACGCAUUAUUAAUGCUGCAAUCAAGAUAGCAGAAAGAUCAAAUGGUGAUCGGAAGUGGAUCUGCUAUGAUAAAUCUGGAAGAAAAUUUUAUGUACCAGAGUUGAAUAAAUUUGCAAACAAGAAAGAAACAGAAAAGGUGGAGUCCUGUGGUAAUGUGGAAGUGGGUGAUUCUGAUCAGCAUAUUCACAAAAUGAUGGAGGGAUCUGAGAAGAUUGAGGAGAAACCAAAUAACUCUCAUGUAAUCAGCAAGUCUGUUGCUGUGGAGGAGGAAGAAGUCAUUCUCUUCAAGCCUCUCACAAGAUAUAAUUCUGCACCAAUUUAUAAUGGUAUUGCAGCUAAUGAUCAAACGACUCCAGAAGAUAAAUUGGACCAGAUAGUACCUGCUGAUGAAUGUUUGCGACGUGCGACUUCACUGCUAAUAGCACAAAACCAGGUCCAGGGUGAUUCUUCAGCAUUCCAUUCUGAUCUCACUAAUUUUAGGCGCAACAAGCCAUUGCAACAUCAGGAGCCUCUUGUAAAGGAUGCAGUAGCACACCCAUUUUCAGAAUUCUCUAUUUCUUCUUCUGGGCCUUUCUCUUUCAGCACCUCCAUCUCUGCCGGACCACCCUCACUCAAUGCUUGGGUCCUCAAUAGAGGAAGUUUGAGCAAUGAUAGAGCGAAAGGGCAAAGAGAGAUGAAUAAAAUGCUGCCUAUUGAGGAAAUAGCAUCUGCAUCACUUAAUGAUCUCUUCAUCAGUGAUGCUGAGAAUUCUGUCAUUAGUUUAGGGCAUGAAGCUGUUACCAUGCAUAACUCUUCUCCUGCUUAUUCAGCACCAUUGCCUUCUGCUCCACUCUUGCCUGAUUAUUCUAUUUGGUUUAAUGGCAUUCAAUCUACCUUCUCUGACUACAAUGGCUUGGGAAACAUCAACAGAACAAACAAUUUCUUUGAUGCAUCACAAGUGAGCAGCUAUUCAAAUUGGACAGGUUCUCAGCAGCCACUUGAUUAUGGUCUUGGUAUCCCUGGUUUGGUGGAUGGAUAUCCACCAUUGCGUCGAAUGACUUCAUCUGAAUGGCUUCGUCAAUACAGGGAAAAUCAUAAUCUUGAGCGGACCACAAGUCAAACAUGGCCAGUACAUUCAUAUGCUACUGUGAACUCAGGAAACCUCUAUGGUUAUGAUAUGUCCAGGUCUGGUCUUUUUGAUCAAUUUGGAGCUCCUUUGGCUACUAAUCCAUUGAUUUAUGAGGAGAGCCCACCGUUGCAUUCAGGUUUUCCUCCUGUUUAUGGCAAUGUUGACUACAGAAGGGACAAGCUCUAUCCUGGUUAUCAAAGACCAAGCCCUUAUGGGUGUGGUGCUGUGAAUGAGCCUGAGCCUCUUUUGCAGUAUCUUAAGGAGAAAGAAUGGCUGCUCCAGCAAGAUCCAACCUUGAGAGGUCCUGCAUAUAUGGGAAGUUGAAAUUUUCAUAUGACCAUAGAAUAUGAGCCUUUCACAUGGCUGCACAACUUUCAUUGGAACUUCAUUGCCACAAAAUGCUUAGGAGGCUUUAUUUUUUUUUUUUUUCAGCAUAUAGUAGGCCUUAAAUGGUCAUUUAUGUGGGUUUAUAACUUUAAAUGUCUGUUAAUGGGAUGUGUACAUAUGUUGUCUAAUAGAGUAUUUUCGUUGGAAAGAAGAGCUUAAGGAUGUCUAUAGAAAAAAUUUCUGCCGUUCUAACAUUGUGGAAAUUUUAUCAUGCCUUGUUGAUACGAUACACUUACUUCUUCAUUGUUUUUUAAAUGGCUCUAAAUGGGAAUCGAGCUCGAAACUUCACAACCCUGUAAUUGUCUUCAAUAUUACUAAGUCAAAGCU
Molecule: unclassified non-coding RNA, 4190 nt
Filed under: Hevea brasiliensis (rubber tree)
Lineage: Eukaryota; Viridiplantae; Streptophyta; Magnoliopsida; Malpighiales; Euphorbiaceae
Source: RNAcentral